GCGGGUAGCAUGCAAAGUAAUGGAGUUUUUUUCUGAACCAGAAGGAAAACUAGUUCCACGCUAUUGUUGCGGCCGAAACUUAUAGACGGGGCCAAGCUUUCGCAUGUGUCCAGCGGCCAGCGCAGAAGUGCCAUCCAACACGACCUUGAACUUUCUUGAACCAAAACAUGGCGGCCAGGAAGUGAUUUUUAGAAAUGAUCUUGAUGAUGUUUGCUGUUUUAUGAGCAAAAUGUGAAAUGUCAUCGGAUACCUUAUCAGCCCGUGGAUACAUAAGGUCUUACUUGCUGGUCGCAGUUUGACCCAACAGCCACACAGAUGUAGAGAUGCAGUCACAGUCAGGCGUCGACAGCCCAGUGCCAUCCAACCUGGACUUGGUGACCAUUGAGAAGUCUUCAGCACUCAUCCUAGUGACAGUCCUUGAUAUCUGGGGUGGAGAGGCACUUUCUGACUCUUCAGAUUGAAAGAUUGUCAAAGUCGGAUGUCUUAGUUGGGAACAGCCUGGAUCAGCUUUACAUUGGAAGCAAGCCCCAUUCCCCAGACAUUAAACCUUUGGGUCGACUGUUUAUCCCGGAAGAACAAGAGUGUGUCGACGGAGUAGUCUCUUCAUCCCCAAGUUUUCAAGUGGAUAAUGACAAGUUUGGACACUGCCCAUCUUGACUUGUUUGCCAUGUGUCUCAACCACCAGCUCCCCAUCUAUGUCAGUCCAGUACCAUGUCCGCAUCCAUAACUCUCCACAUGGACGCCCUGUCAGUGAGUUGGGCGGGUUGCUCGCUUACAGUUUUCCCCUGGGCCUCUGGUGGAC
Molecule: long non-coding RNA, 802 nt
Organism: Haliotis rufescens (red abalone)
Lineage: Eukaryota; Metazoa; Mollusca; Gastropoda; Lepetellida; Haliotidae
Exons: 3
Source: RefSeq, a predicted model, not a curated record